UGGUGGAGUGAUUUGUCUGGUUAAUUCCGUUAACGAACGAGACCCUGCCUGCUAAAUAGUCAAAUGAGUGAUUUUUCACUGAUUGUGGCUUCUUAGAGGGACGUGCAUUUUAUUAGAUGCAGGAGGAUAGGGGCAAUAACA
This 141-nucleotide ribosomal RNA is filed under the name uncultured eukaryote. RNAcentral describes it as "partial 18S ribosomal RNA". It matches the Rfam family "Eukaryotic small subunit ribosomal RNA", at positions 1299 to 1458 of the family's 1831-position model. The record is from RNAcentral.